Telopea speciosissima is the source of this 205-nucleotide long non-coding RNA. RefSeq lists it as uncharacterized. The transcript is spliced from 3 exons. The record is from RefSeq and is a predicted model, not a curated record. NCBI's taxonomy places the organism in Eukaryota, Viridiplantae, Streptophyta, Magnoliopsida, Proteales, Proteaceae.
AUCCACAACCCAUCCAUUAUUCAUGAGUUUUAACUAUAAUUAUAUACACUAUAAGAGGCUUGUGAAGAUAAAAUGCAGAAGAAAUCUGAACAGAGGCAUACGGUCUUGGAGUCUCCAAAGUCCCCAAGGGCACUGCUAGCAAUUGAGUACAACCUCAGUUUGUGGGGUUUCCCAUUCUUGUCAACACCAUCCGCAAUAACCCCAA